This is a long non-coding RNA of Eublepharis macularius, 2354 nucleotides long. RefSeq lists it as uncharacterized. The record is from RefSeq and is a predicted model, not a curated record. The transcript has 6 exons. NCBI's taxonomy places the organism in Eukaryota, Metazoa, Chordata, Lepidosauria, Squamata, Eublepharidae.
UCCCUUGUAAUCAGGCUAGAUUAAUAACUACUGUUUGCUGGACAAUAACCUGCAAAUCCAACCCAGGACGAAAGGAUUUCUUCAGGACUGGCCGAGGACUGGAUCAACCUCUGUUGCUGCUGACUGAGAGAGGAGAGAGACUGCCUUUGUGGACUUCUUCUGGACUGCACCUGGUGGACAUCUGCCUGGACUUCUGACUGUGGAGGAUCAACUGUGCUGGACAUCAGGAGAGGAAGACUGGUAUUCCCAUGCCUCCAUUGUUAUUUCUUUAUGAAAAUUCAUUGGCCCUGCAGGCCUCCUCUGCAGGGUGGGCUUUUGUGUUUCCUGUGGCUGGGCCUACCAUUUCUGCUUGAGAAACAGCAUCGAGGAGGAGAGGAGGACCAGCUGCAUGACUGCCUGAACAUCACUGGACUGCAGGACUGGAUACCGUUGUUCUUCCAGAUCUACGCUCUGUUCUUCUUGAUCCUAAGCAAUGGGAGACACCUGAGGCAUUCAACCCAAAUCAUUUUUUGGACAAGGAUGGAAGUUUUCUGGAAAGAGAAGCAUUUCUUCCAUUCGGUGCAGGGGGCCGUGAGUGCCUGGGACAACAAAUAGUAAAGAAUGAGCUCUUCAUCUUCUUCAUCAACCUGUUGAGGUCAUUCACUUUCCAGCUGCCAGAAGGAGUAAAGCAGCUCAGUGAAGAACCUAUACUUGGGACAUCAUUGUCCCCCCAACCUUAUAAGAUCUGUGCUGUUCCCCGCUGCAGCACAUCAUAAGCUAUACAAAUUGGAGUGUCCACUUGUUACCUUCAAUUUCUUCUUCAUUCCUUUCAUGUCAUCCUAACCCUGAGCUGACCUGAUCAGUUCAUUCUUUCCUUGAUUCCUCUGUCAGAGUUUGACUGAUGCCUCCUCAAGAUAGAAUUCUGGCAGAUCUACGAUGUGGCUGGUUGCUAAACUUGUACUAUUACCUGACUAAUGAUCUUAUUUGUAGUCUGAGAUCUUCAACUAAAUACUCGAUAUGGAAUUCUGGUAAUAUAUAACACCCGACAUUUCUCUUUUUUUUAUAUGCUUUUCAAAGAAGUGACGGGUUGCAUAGAGGAAAGAGAUGUAUCAGAACUGAGUUAAAGAACAAAUUUAUGCAUAAAGAAUAUUUACACACAAGCCUUACAUCUACUGCAGUCUUUACGAAUGCUGAUUUUUAAAAUUGUUAAUUGAUAAGGGGAUUACAGGGGAGGCAUUUGUACUGUGUAUGAGAACUUGGAAUAAUGUUGGUCCUGCAUUCACAUUAGAGAGCAAAUGAAGGAAAGAGACAUUCAAACCUCAUGUAUGAAAAGAGCCUUAGAAGAAUGUGUAUUGAAGCAUCAAAAAUGGAAUUUAAAACAAUAGUUUAACUCAGUCUGCUUGUCUUCAGCUGAGAACUCGAGACAGCAAGGACAGCAAGACUCCCUAUGAAUGGGCAACCAAGGAUGGAUGAGAGAGAAGAAGGGACAGUAAAAGACAACAAAAGACAAUAAAAGACAACAAAAGAAUUGCCACAGCAUCCUUGGAAUGUGAUAUGAAUGGAGGAUUAGGGCACAAUAAACAAGACCUGACACAGUAGACAUAAUUGUGAGGAAUUCAAAUGCCCUAGCCACUAAAGAAAAUUUAGACUCGAGAGGUCAUAAGAGUCACAUUAGAAGCACAGUGCUACUUCCUGCUUUAUCAGGCAAAUAGGAAAUGCAUUUUUAAACCUCAGGUGCCAAAUUAAACACCUGUUGUAAACGUGAGUGAAGUGAUCACCACUGAGUUCCUUCAAGGGGACUGUCAACCUGGGAGAUGACUUGUGUUCUUCAUCAGGAAUGGAUUUCUUAUCUCCCUCAACAACUACUUAUCUCCUUAUAGUACAUACCUCAAGUAUACAUUGUGAGGUCAUACAUUUAGAUAGCAGAAGUUGCAGAUGGACAUUGAACAAGGAGAGCAGUCACACCAACUGGACCGAUAAAGUUUCAGGUAUGUAGCUGUGUUGGUCUGCAGUUGAACAGCAGGAUUUGGGUCAAUUGGCACCUCAGAGAGCAACAAAAUAUUCAGGGUGUGAGCUUUCGAGAGUCAGAUCUCUGAGUCUUUAGAUCUCAGCCAAAAGGUGGGUUAGGGAAGGUAAAGAAGGGAGUUAGGAUGCCAAUCUCAUUUUACAGAGGAGUCUAAGAAGGGCACCCCCCUCAGCUCUGCUCUUGAUUUUUCCCUUAAAUCUUUAGAAAGCACGAUUAAAGCAAAGAAAUGUAAAGGUUUUGAGACUGGCUCUUGUCAGUAUGUAAUCUCUAUAUAUGGAGAUGAUAUUGUAUUAUUUCUAACUGAUGUGGUCCGUUUUAAUGCUGAAUUAAAAGUUAUUAUUGAUCUAUA